Molecule: ribosomal RNA, 398 nt
Filed under: uncultured bacterium
Lineage: Bacteria
Description: partial 16S ribosomal RNA
Rfam family: Bacterial small subunit ribosomal RNA
Source: RNAcentral
AUACGUAGGGUGCGAGCGUUGUCCGGAAUUACUGGGCGUAAAGAGCUCGUAGGUGGUUUGUCGCGUCGUCUGUGAAAUUCCGGGGCUUAACUCCGGGCGUGCAGGCGAUACGGGCAUAACUUGAGUACUGUAGGGGAGACUGGAAUUCCUGGUGUAGCGGAGAAAUGCGCAGAUAUCAGGAGGAACACCGGUGGCGAAGGCGGGAUUCUGGGCAGAAACUGGCGCGGUGGGGCGAAAGAAUGGGUAGCGAACAGGACUAGAGACCCUGGUAGUCCAUGCCGUAAACGGUGGGCGCUAGGUGUGGGGGUCUUCCACGACUUCUGUGCCGUAGAUAACGCAUUAAGCGCCCCGCCUGGGGAGUACGGCCGCAAGGCUAAAACUCAAAGGAAUUGACGGGG